This 797-nucleotide ribosomal RNA is filed under the name uncultured bacterium. RNAcentral describes it as "bacterial SSU rRNA". It matches the Rfam family "Bacterial small subunit ribosomal RNA", at positions 69 to 839 of the family's 1533-position model. The record is from RNAcentral.
AGACUUUUUAUUUGAUGCUUGCAUCUUUUAAAAAGUUGAGUGGCGAACGGGUGAGUAACACGUGGGUAACCUGCCUUAAAGUGGGGGAUAACACUUGGAAACAGGUGCUAAUACCGCAUAACCAUCAAAACCGCCUGGUUUUGAUGUUAAAGAUGGUUCUGCUAUCGCUUUAAGAUGGACCCGCGGCGUAUUAGCUAGUUGGUGAGGUAAUGGCUUACCAAGGCAAUGAUACGUAGCCGAACUGAGAGGUUGAUCGGCCACAUUGGGACUGAGACACGGCCCAAACUCCUACGGGAGGCAGCAGUAGGGAAUCUUCCACAAUGGACGAAAGUCUGAUGGAGCAACGCCGCGUGAGUGAAGAAGGUUUUCGGAUCGUAAAACUCUGUUGUCAGAGAAGAACGUGUGUGAGAGUAACUGUUCACGCAGUGACGGUAUCUGACCAGAAAGUCACGGCUAACUACGUGCCAGCAGCCGCGGUAAUACGUAGGUGGCAAGCGUUGUCCGGAUUUAUUGGGCGUAAAGGGAACGCAGGCGGUCUUUUAAGUCUGAUGUGAAAGCCUUCGGCUUAACCGAAGUCGGGCAUUGGAAACUGGGAGACUUGAGUGCAGAAGAGGAGAGUGGAACUCCAUGUGUAGCGGUGAAAUGCGUAGAUAUAUGGAAGAACACCAGUGGCGAAAGCGGCUCUCUGGUCUGUAACUGACGCUGAGGUUCGAAAGCGUGGGUAGCAAACAGGAUUAGAUACCCUGGUAGUCCACGCCGUAAACGAUGAAUGCUAAGUGUUGGAGGGUUUCCGCCCU